Molecule: ribosomal RNA, 455 nt
Filed under: uncultured bacterium
Lineage: Bacteria
Description: bacterial SSU rRNA
Rfam family: Bacterial small subunit ribosomal RNA
Source: RNAcentral
UACGAGUUUGAUCAUGGCUCAGAACGAACGCUGGCGGCAUGCCUAACACAUGCAAGUCGAACGAAGGCUUCGGCCUUAGUGGCGCACGGGUGCGUAACGCGUGGGAAUCUGCCCUUGGGUUCGGAAUAACUCAGAGAAAUUUGAGCUAAUACCGGAUGAUGACGUAAGUCCAAAGAUUUAUCGCCCAAGGAUGGGCCCGCGUAAGAUUAGCUAGUUGGUGGGGUAAAGGCCUACCAAGGCGACGAUCUUUAGCUGGUCUGAGAGGAUGAUCAGCCACACUGGGACUGAGACACGGCCCAGACUCCUACGGGAGGCAGCAGUGGGGAAUAUUGGACAAUGGGCGAAAGCCUGAUCCAGCAAUGCCGCGUGAGUGAUGAAGGCCUUAGGGUUGUAAAGCUCUUUUACCAGGGAUGAUAAUGACAGUACCUGGAGAAUAAGCUCCGGCCAACUCCGUG